This 435-nucleotide ribosomal RNA is filed under the name uncultured bacterium. RNAcentral describes it as "partial 16S ribosomal RNA". It matches the Rfam family "Bacterial small subunit ribosomal RNA", at positions 28 to 507 of the family's 1533-position model. The record is from RNAcentral.
GAUGAACGCUGGCGGUAUGCUUAACACAUGCAAGUCGAACGGACUCUUCGGAGUUAGUGGCGGGCGGGUGAGUAACGCGUGAGAAUCUGGCUUUGGGUUCGGGACAACCACUGGAAACGGUGGCUAAUACCGGAUGUGCCGAGAGGUAAAAGAGAAAUUGCCUGAAGAUGAGCUCGCGUCUGAUUAGCUAGUUGGUGAGGUAAAGGCUCACCAAGGCAGCGAUCAGUAGCUGGUCUGAGAGGAUGACCAGCCACACUGGGACUGAGACACGGCCCAGACUCCUACGGGAGGCAGCAGUGGGGAAUUUUCCGCAAUGGGCGAAAGCCUGACGGAGCAAUACCGCGUGAGGGAAGAAGGCUCUUGGGUUGUAAACCUCUUUUCUCAGGGAAGAACAAAAUGACGGUACCUAAGGAAUCAGCAUCGGCUAACUCCGUG